GCCUCCUGGAUUCAGGUUUGUUACAUGCUCAAAUGGGGAAGCCUGUCUUUGUAUCAGGCUACUCUUGUUACAAACACCUGAACCGGAACUCAAACUCAUGUGUUACCGUCCUCUCAUCUUGUCUGUUUUAUUCUCAGGGACGCAUUCAUGGCUUCAUUCAACAAGUGGACUGUGGGAAGAUGUUCAUCAACAAGUCUGCGGUAUUAAGUUUAGCUGCUAGUACAUAUUAUGGAUUUGGGGACAUGAGGGAGCGAGUGGUACAUGGAUCGAUUGGUGUAGUCUUUGUAGGUUGAGUAGAUUCUUCAAGAGUACUGAGGUUUCUUCAGGAGUACUGAAGAGCUUUAUUGUUCUUGGAAAAAUGAUAAUUAGCUAAAAAUGUUAGCUCUGUCAUUCCAUAAUUAUUGAUUAAUUGUUUGGUCUGAUUUCAAGGUACGGACAACAGGAAAGAAAUCUUGCAUCGUUUGCAUAUGGUACAUAGACAUGUUUCCCAUUCAGCCGCCAACUCCACGCUUAGUUCGUUAGCUGAUUAUAGGGAAAACAAAAGUUGGUAAGUUCAAAAUGUCCAGUCCUAUAAGUUCAUCUAAUCUAUGUAGGAUUUUGUACUAUGAGUUCAUCUACUCUAUGUGUUUGGGCAGUACAAAUAUGGCUACAGUAUAUUACUGCUAUGUAGAAUUUUGUCCUGUGAGUUCAUCUACUCUACUGUAUGAGUUCAUCUACUCUACAGUACAAGUUCAGCUAUGAGAAAGAAUUAGCAAAACUGAAAGAAAAAAUGAAUGUUACCAGAAUUGAAAGCAAAUGAUUUUUCAAACUUUUGGAUGAGAUCUUGCUCAGUUUUCUGGUUAAAAAAAAAGACAACAUGGAUUUACCAUGUUCUACCGGUGUUACUACUUUGUACUGAUCCUGGAAGCCUAUGAGCGGUACAUUUUCCUAAGCGGGUAAUGAUCGCAAACUCUUGGUUAUGAUGGAUUUUAAUAUAGAGCUAGGCCUUGUCACUGUGAAUUUAUUAUGCACCUGAUCCAAAUUCUUCUGAUGUUCUGGGCCUCUGGGGCAUGGGUCCAAUAUAUUAGUUUCUAUGCUCCACUGGUCCUCUCCACCACGAGCCCUAGUGUGGAUCACCUGCGGCGGCCAAAUCCCGGCGGGCCCAGCCACUGCUCGUGAACCCCGCCUCCAUCAGCUCCACUUCACCGGAGCCGUCAGUCCGCAGGAGUAGGGGUAGCAGGUUCACCCGACGUGCGACGCCUUCUUUCAUCUCCAAAAAUCUUGUUUAUUGAGUUCAGUUCUUCGUCGCAUGUUUCACUAGCUAAAAAAUGUAUGGUGUUCUGAAAUUGCUUGCGAACCACUAGCUGAAAAAAAUAAUCCCUCUUCUUGUAAGUUCUGGUCAGAGUUUAGACUAUACCAAAUGUCCAAAUUACAUGGUGUGGUCUUCUGUUCUUUCCGUUCAUUUCAAGUUAACUGUAGCUGAACAUGUGUUGUGUUGAUACUGAACUUGUGAUUUGUCUGAUUCUAAACUGAUGCGUAUCCAACAUUGGUGUUUAAACAAUUUUUGGUCCAUUGACUGUUUGAACUUGCAACCUUACUGCCUUGAACUAUGGUAUAAAAAAACUGAACUCAUGCAGGUACUUGGUGGUGCAGACUUGGUAGCGGUGAUAUUUUGGUUCGAUUACAUAUCAACAACAGUGCAAUGACUGAAAGAUCAUCAGUUCAAAAUAUAUAUGCAGGAGGUUUGCGAACCAAAAAGUUGAUAUUUUGUUGUGUUUAAAUUUUCGGGUGCAUGAUUGAACAAGAUAUAAAAAUAAAUAUGAUGUAUGAUAUAUACUUUUUUCUUGUAGGAGGUUCAAAGAUUGUCGUGGAGCAAGUUAAAGAGUUUAGUACACCUGCGUCAGUCGGCCACCGUAGGAUGUAGCUACUACUCUCUCAAGUCAUAGGCUGCGGUUGCUACUUCUUUGUACUCGUAAUUUGUUAUUUCUUUGCAACCAGAUGUGACAGACGGAUGCAAGAGGCAAAGUGUCCUAUUUGUUAGAUGUUCAGUACAGAUUUUUCUCUAAGAAAAAACAACAUGAGGCAACAGUUUUGAAUGUGCUAGUUGUAAGUAACUUAGUUGUUAGAUGGUCAUUUCAGAUUUUUGUAGAUGCAACAACUAGUUUGUUUUCUUGUGCUAGUUGAACUGGUUUUCUUGUGCUAGUUGAACUGGUCUUGGUUCAGAUAUUUCUCUGAGAAAAAAGUAGCAAGAGGCGGCAGUAUUGAAUGAUCUUUGUUAGAUGUUCUGUAAAUAUUAUGGAAUUUUCUAUGGGACACACCUGAACUGAAGUUGUUACCUGAAAUGAAUGGUUCUACUUCUCCCACGGAAAAUGCCACCUUUGGUUUCAGGUUUCUUCAUUGUUGUAAGGCUUGUGAAAUUUAGAUAAUCUUACCACUGAGGUUGUGGUGCCUUUUUCUUUCAGCAAAAAUUCAGGUUGGGAAGCUUAUUUCUUCCAAAGUGAUUGUUUGGGUACUACAAGCUCCCACAGAGUGGAAGCGGUUGUUACAACAGGUUUGAAGUAGAUAUUACACAAGGUUUGAUUUUUCUAGACCAUGUACAAAAACAGUAGCAGUUCUAGUACUUAUGCAGUCGUCUGCCUUUUCUUAACUUUGUUUGAUUUUUCGUGAAAUAUAUAAAACCCAGUAGCAGUACUAUUACUUAUUGUACAACAGGUCAUUGACUAAAACUAUAUCAGUUUAGCACAUGUACUUACAAAAACAAAUCAACAGGUUUGUAGGUUUUUUUCAGCUCAUCUUGUUGGCUUUUUUGGUUCAUACUGCAGGCUUGUAGGAUUAGAUUCUCAUGUUUGUUUCAAUAUUAGGGAGAAGUAGAACCAUUCAUUUCUUGUAUAUUUAUUGUUAUUGUAGUAUUAUGGAGUAUGUGAUCAGCUCAUGCAGUAUAUACUAAGUAUGCACAAAAUGUCUGUACGGUACUUUACAUACAAAAAACUUGCUUUCUCUAGACCAUGCAAGAUUCCUCAAAGGAGCUCAUGUCGAACGAGUGCUUUACAUACAAAUGAGCGCAAUGAUGGGCCAUUAGCUUAAUUUCGCGCACACGACAUCUUUGGUCGCGUGGCCGGCACCAUUAUCUUAAAUAUUUGUUUCUGCACUAAGUUUCUUAAUGUAUUUUGUUCACAAAAUUUUAGUGAAAAUUUUACCUCACGUUACUUGUGAUCUCGCAACUGUAUGUUCACCCGUGAAGGUAUCUCUCAUUGCUUAUUGUUACAUUAAUUUUCGUGGUAAGAAAGGUUUACAUUAAAAGUAACAUCAUAUAGGAAAAAUGCUUCUAUUCUAACACAUUUUUUUCUGGAAAAAAGAGCACUAGUACUGAGGAGUCGUAUUGACAAGGAUGCUGUUUACAAUUCUGAUGAGUCGUACUGACAAGGACAUAAUUAUUGUGCAAAUGGAAAAAAACAUACAUAAUUAUCGAUGCUACUGGAUUGUGGACAGAGGAGUUAAAUUAAGCCCCUCACUUUGUUUCU
This 3500-nucleotide long non-coding RNA is filed under the name Triticum aestivum (bread wheat). RNAcentral describes it as "long non-coding RNA (TAES_LNC005414)". The record is from RNAcentral. Lineage: Eukaryota; Viridiplantae; Streptophyta; Magnoliopsida; Poales; Poaceae.